AUCUUUUUGGCAGAAAUAUUGCAUUAGAUUUAGAAUCUAAUAAAACUA
RNAcentral lists this transfer RNA (48 nucleotides) under Herennia etruscilla. RNAcentral describes it as "tRNA-Leu". The record is from RNAcentral. Lineage: Eukaryota; Metazoa; Arthropoda; Arachnida; Araneae; Nephilidae.